GGUUAAGUGACUAAGCGUACACGGUGGAUGCCUUGGCAGUCAGAGGCGAUGAAAGACGUAGUAACUUGCGAUAAGCCCAGAUUAGGUAGUAACAACCAUUUGAGUCUGGGAUUUCUGAAUGGGGAAACCCACGUGCAUAAGCACGUAUCCUUACCUGAAUACAUAGGGUAAGGAGGCGAACCGGGGGAACUGAAACAUCUAAGUACCCCGAGGAAAAGAAAUCAACCGAGAUUCCGAAAGUAGCGGCGAGCGAAAUUGGACUAGCCCUUAAGCUUUACACGCGUUAGACGAACGGUCUGGAAAGUCCGACGAUACAGGGUGAUAGUCCCGUAGUUGACGACGUGUGUUCAGUGAAAUCGAGUAGGGCGGGACACGUGAUAUCCUGUCUGAAUAUGGGGGGACCAUCCUCCAAGGCUAAAUACUACUGACUGACCGAUAGUGAACCAGUACCGUGAGGGAAAGGCGAAAAGAACCCCUGUGAGGGGAGUGAAAUAGAACCUGAAACCGUGUACGUACAAGCAGUAGGAGCAGGCUUUGUCCUGUGACUGCGUACCUUUUGUAUAAUGGGUCAGCGACUUAUAUUCAGUGGCAAGGUUAACCAUCUAGGGGAGCCGUAGGGAAACCGAGUCUUAACUGGGCGUUCAGUCUCUGGAUAUAGACCCGAAACCAGGUGAUCUAGCCAUGGGCAGGUUGAAGGUUGAGUAACAUCAACUGGAGGACCGAACCGACUAAUGUUGAAAAAUUAGCGGAUGACUUGUGGCUAGGGGUGAAAGGCCAAUCAAACCUGGAGAUAGCUGGUUCUCCCCGAAAGCUAUUUAGGUAGCGCCUCGGACGAAUACUACUGGGGGUAGAGCACUGUUAAGGCUAGGGGGUCAUCCCGACUUACCAACCCUUUGCAAACUCCGAAUACCAGUAAGUACUAUCCGGGAGACACACGGCGGGUGCUAACGUCCGUCGUGGAGAGGGAAACAACCCAGACCGCCAGCUAAGGUCCCAAAUUACUACUAAGUGGGAAACGAUGUGGGAAGGCUCAGACAGCCAGGAUGUUGGCUUAGAAGCAGCCAUCAUUUAAAGAAAGCGUAAUAGCUCACUGGUCGAGUCGGCCUGCGCGGAAGAUGUAACGGGGCUAAGUAGUAAACCGAAGCUGCGGCAAU
This 1154-nucleotide ribosomal RNA is filed under the name Vibrio parahaemolyticus. RNAcentral describes it as "partial 23S ribosomal RNA". It matches the Rfam family "Bacterial large subunit ribosomal RNA", at positions 1 to 1209 of the family's 2925-position model. Lineage: Bacteria; Pseudomonadati; Pseudomonadota; Gammaproteobacteria; Vibrionales; Vibrionaceae. The record is from RNAcentral.